RNAcentral lists this ribosomal RNA (253 nucleotides) under uncultured bacterium. RNAcentral describes it as "partial 16S ribosomal RNA". It matches the Rfam family "Bacterial small subunit ribosomal RNA", at positions 524 to 776 of the family's 1533-position model. The record is from RNAcentral.
UACGAAGGGGGCUAGCGUUGUUCGGAUUUACUGGGCGUAAAGCGCGUGUAGGCGGGUCGUUAAGUUGGGGGUGAAAUCCCGAGGCUCAACCUCGGAACUGCCUCCAAAACUGGCGACCUGGAGCAAGAUAGAGGCGAGUGGAAUUCCGAGUGUAGAGGUGAAAUUCGUAGAUAUUCGGAGGAACACCAGUGGCGAAGGCGACUCGCUGGAUCUUUGCUGACGCUGAGACGCGAAAGCGUGGGGAGCAAACAGG